This 1445-nucleotide ribosomal RNA is filed under the name uncultured organism. RNAcentral describes it as "SSU rRNA". It matches the Rfam family "Bacterial small subunit ribosomal RNA". The record is from RNAcentral.
GGCAGGCCUAACACAUGCAAGUCGAGCGGUAGCACAGAGAGCUUGCUCUCGGGUGACGAGCGGCGGACGGGUGAGUAAUGUCUGGGAAACUGCCUGAUGGAGGGGGAUAACUACUGGAAACGGUAGCUAAUACCGCAUAAUGUCGCAAGACCAAAGUGGGGGACCUUCGGGCCUCAUGCCAUCAGAUGUGCCCAGAUGGGAUUAGCUAGUAGGUGGGGUAACGGCUCACCUAGGCGACGAUCCCUAGCUGGUCUGAGAGGAUGACCAGCCACACUGGAACUGAGACACGGUCCAGACUCCUACGGGAGGCAGCAGUGGGGAAUAUUGCACAAUGGGCGCAAGCCUGAUGCAGCCAUGCCGCGUGUGUGAAGAAGGCCUUCGGGUUGUAAAGCACUUUCAGCGGGGAGGAAGGCGGUGAGGUUAAUAACCUCACCGAUUGACGUUACCCGCAGAAGAAGCACCGGCUAACUCCGUGCCAGCAGCCGCGGUAAUACGGAGGGUGCAAGCGUUAAUCGGAAUUACUGGGCGUAAAGCGCACGCAGGCGGCCUGUCAAGUCGGAUGUGAAAUCCCCGGGCUCAACCUGGGAACUGCAUUCGAAACUGGCAGGCUAGAGUCUUGUAGAGGGGGGUAGAAUUCCAGGUGUAGCGGUGAAAUGCGUAGAGAUCUGGAGGAAUACCGGUGGCGAAGGCGGCCCCCUGGACAAAGACUGACGCUCAGGUGCGAAAGCGUGGGGAGCAAACAGGAUUAGAUACCCCGGUAGUCCACGCCGUAAACGAUGUCGAUUUGGAGGUUGUGCCCUUGAGGCGUGGCUUCCGGAGCUAACGCGUUAAAUCGACCGCCUGGGGAGUACGGCCGCAAGGUUAAAACUCAAAUGAAUUGACGGGGGCCCGCACAAGCGGUGGAGCAUGUGGUUUAAUUCGAUGCAACGCGAAGAACCUUACCUGGUCUUGACAUCCACAGAACUUUCCAGAGAUGGAUUGGUGCCUUCGGGAACUGUGAGACAGGUGCUGCAUGGCUGUCGUCAGCUCGGGUUGUGAAAUGUUGGGUUAAGUCCCGCAACGAGCGCAACCCUUAUCCUUUGUUGCCAGCGGUUCGGCCGGGAACUCAAAGGAGACUGCCAGUGAUAAACUGGAGGAAGGUGGGGAUGACGUCAAGUCAUCAUGGCCCUUACGACCAGGGCUACACACGUGCUACAAUGGCAUAUACAAAGAGAAGCGACCUCGCGAGAGCAAGCGGACCUCAUAAAGUAUGUCGUAGUCCGGAUUGGAGUCUGCAACUCGACUCCAUGAAGUCGGAAUCGCUAGUAAUCGUAGAUCAGAAUGCUACGGUGAAUACGUUCCCGGGCCUUGUACACACCGCCCGUCACACCAUGGGAGUGGGUUGCAAAAGAAGUAGGUAGCUUAACCUUCGGGAGGGCGCUUACCACUUUGUGAUUCAUGACUGG